GUGCUCACUUCGGCAGCACAUAUACUAAAACUGGAAAGGUA
Molecule: small nuclear RNA, 41 nt
Filed under: Cervus elaphus hippelaphus
Lineage: Eukaryota; Metazoa; Chordata; Mammalia; Artiodactyla; Cervidae
Source: RNAcentral